Molecule: ribosomal RNA, 207 nt
Filed under: uncultured bacterium
Lineage: Bacteria
Description: partial 16S ribosomal RNA
Rfam family: Bacterial small subunit ribosomal RNA
Source: RNAcentral
CUCGUAGGCGGUUCGUCGCGUCCGGUGUGAAAGUCCAUCGCCUAACGGUGGAUCUGCGCCGGGUACGGGCGGGCUGGAGUGCGGUAGGGGAGACUGGAAUUCCCGGUGUAACGGUGGAAUGUGUGGAUAUCGGGAAGAGCACCAAUGGCGAAGGCAGGUCUCUGGGCCGUUACUGACGCUGAGGAGCGAAAGCGUGGGGAGCGAACA